UUUUUGUAUAGUGUGUGUAUAUAAUGCAGUGUGUUUGUGUAGUGUGCAUUAUAUAAACACACUACACAAACACACUGCAUUAUAUAUACACACUAUACAAAC
Molecule: microRNA precursor, 102 nt
Filed under: Pelobates cultripes (western spadefoot toad)
Lineage: Eukaryota; Metazoa; Chordata; Amphibia; Anura; Pelobatidae
Source: RNAcentral